Molecule: ribosomal RNA, 254 nt
Filed under: uncultured bacterium
Lineage: Bacteria
Description: partial 16S ribosomal RNA
Rfam family: Bacterial small subunit ribosomal RNA
Source: RNAcentral
UACGGGGGAUGCAAGCGUUAUCCGGAUUUAUUGGGUUUAAAGGGUGCGUAGGCUGUGAGGUAAGUCAGCGGUGAAAUGCCCCCGCUCAACGGGGUGAAGUGCCAUUGAUACUGCCUUGCUGGAAUGCAGAUGCCGUGGGAGGAAUGUGUGGUGUAGCGGUGAAAUGCAUAGAUAUCACACAGAACACCGAUUGCGAAGGCAUCUCACGAAUCCGCGAUUGACGCUGAUGCACGAAAGCGUGGGUAUCAAACAGG